RNAcentral lists this ribosomal RNA (1442 nucleotides) under uncultured organism. RNAcentral describes it as "partial small subunit ribosomal RNA". It matches the Rfam family "Bacterial small subunit ribosomal RNA". The record is from RNAcentral.
AACGCUGGCGGCGUGCUUAACACAUGCAAGUCGAACGGAAAGGCCCUGCUUUUGUGGGGUGCUCGAGUGGCGAACGGGUGAGUAACACGUGAGUAACCUGCCCUUGACUUUGGGAUAACUUCAAGAAACUGGGGCUAAUACCGGAUAGGAGCUCCUGCUGCAUGGUGGGGGUUGGAAAGUUUCGGCGGUUGGGGAUGGACUCGCGGCUUAUCAGCUUGUUGGUGGGGUAGUGGCUUACCAAGGCUUUGACGGGUAGCCGGCCUGAGAGGGUGACCGGCCACAUUGGGACUGAGAUACGGCCCAGACUCCUACGGGAGGCAGCAGUGGGGAAUAUUGCACAAUGGGCGGAAGCCUGAUGCAGCAACGCCGCGUGCGGGAUGACGGCCUUCGGGUUGUAAACCGCUUUCGCCUGUGACGAAGCGUGAGUGACGGUAAUGGGUAAAGAAGCACCGGCUAACUACGUGCCAGCAGCCGCGGUGAUACGUAGGGUGCGAGCGUUGUCCGGAUUUAUUGGGCGUAAAGGACUCGUAGGUGGUUGAUCGCGUCGGAAGUGUAAUCUUGGGGCUUAACCCUGAGCGUGCUUUCGAUACGGGUUGACUUGAGGAAGGUAGGGGAGAAUGGAAUUCCUGGUGGAGCGGUGGAAUGCGCAGAUAUCAGGAGGAACACCAGUGGCGAAGGCGGUUCUCUGGGCCUUUCCUGACGCUGAGGAGCGAAAGCGUGGGGAGCGAACAGGCUUAGAUACCCUGGUAGUCCACGCUGUAAACGGUGGGUACUAGGUGUGGGGUCCAUUCCACGGGUUCCGUGCCGUAGCUAACGCUUUAAGUACCCCGCCUGGGGAGUACGGCCGCAAGGCUAAAACUCAAAGGAAUUGACGGGGCCCCGCACAAGCGGCGGAGCAUGCGGAUUAAUUCGAUGCAACGCGUAGAACCUUACCUGGGUUUGACAUGGAUCGGGAGUGCUCAGAGAUGGGUGUGCCUCUUUUGGGGUCGGUUCACAGGUGGUGCAUGCCUGUCGUCAGCUCGUGUCGUGAGAUGUUGGGUUAAGUCCCGCAACGAGCGCAACCCUUGUUCACUGUUGCCAGCACGUUAUGGUGGGGACUCAGUGGAGACCGCCGGGGUCAACUCGGAGGAAGGUGGGGAUGACGUCAAGUCCUCAUGCCCCUUAUGUCCAGGGCUUCACGCAUGCUACAAUGGCUGGUACAGAGAGUGGCGAGCCUGUGAGGGUGAGCGAAUCUCGGAAAGCCGGUCUCAGUUCGGAUUGGGGUCUGCAACUCGACCUCAUGAAGUCGGAGUCGCUAGUAAUCGCAGAUCAGCAACGCUGCGGUGAAUACGUUCCCGGGGCUUGUACACACCGCCCGUCAAGUCAUGAAAGUUGGUAACACCCGAAGCCGGUGGCCUAACCGUUGUGGGGGAGCCGUCGAAGGUGGGACUGGUGAUUAGGAC